This 379-nucleotide unclassified non-coding RNA is filed under the name soil metagenome. RNAcentral describes it as "partial contains 5.8S ribosomal RNA, internal transcribed spacer 2, and large subunit ribosomal RNA". The stretch from base 1 to 120 matches the Rfam family "5.8S ribosomal RNA", at positions 35 to 154 of the family's 154-position model. The record is from RNAcentral.
GAUGAAGAACGUAGCGAAAUGCGAUAAGUAAUGUGAAUUGCAGAAUUCAGUGAAUCAUCGAAUCUUUGAACGCACCUUGCACCCUUUGGCAUUCCGAAGGGUAUGCUCGUUUGAGUGUCAUUGUACUCUCACACUUCCAAUUCUUUGGAUUGGGAGCGGUGGACUUGGGUGCUGCUGCUUACCGUGGCUCACCUCAAAUGUGUUAGUGCAACCGUUGGUUAGACAUAGUACAGCGUGAUAAGUAUCUUCGCUGGCGCCUCACUCGAGGGUGGCUGAUCAGGGCUCUGUGCUCCGAAUCGUCUUCGGACAAUCACUGACAACUUGACCUCAAAUCGAGUAGGACUACCCGCUGAACUUAAGCAUAUCAAUAAGCGGAGGA